Molecule: long non-coding RNA, 5561 nt
Organism: Hemibagrus wyckioides
Lineage: Eukaryota; Metazoa; Chordata; Actinopteri; Siluriformes; Bagridae
Exons: 4
Source: RefSeq, a predicted model, not a curated record
AGAGUCCUGACCUCAACCCGAUAGAACACCUUUGGGAUGAAUUAGAGCGGAGACUGAGAGCCAGGCCUUCUCGUCCAACAUCAGUGUGUGACCUCACAAAUGCGCUUCUGGAAGAAUGGUCAAAAAUUACCAUAAACACACUCCUAAACCUUGUGGACAGCCUUCCCAGAAGAGUUGAAGCUGUUAUAGCUGCAAAGGGUGGACCAACGUCAUAUUGAACUCUAUGGAUUAGGAAUGGGAUGUCAUUUAAGUUCAUAUGCGAGUCAAGGCAGGUGAGCGAAUACUUUUGGCAAUAUAGUGUAUAUAUCACUAUGCCAUGUUAUGAAGCAUCUGCUGAGAUUUUAGUGCUCUUGUGUGGGUCAUAAUAUCUGAGCACUGGCUCUUCUUUAAUGAUGUGUUUCAGGUUUUGAAAGCAUGCCUCCUGCUUGUGAGACCACACCCACUCAUUCUUUUGUUCUAGCAGACAUCCGAGUGGAGCAGAACGUGUUGAUAGCUGGGGAAUGAAUUUGGCCAGGUAUGUGACCAUUCCAAGGAAUCUUCUCGCUUCCUCUGUACUUUGUGGCAUGUUGUCUAUUGCUGAUGUUUUUUUUAGGUCUGGCCUAAUGCCUUCUUCAGACCGGACAUCUCCAACGAGAGUUAAGCUCUUAACUGCAAACUCACACUUCUCUUUGUUCAAUUUUCGAUUGGACUGUCCUGUUAGCUCCAGAACCUGCUUCAGUCAUGCAUCAUGUUCCUGCUGGUUGGAACCCCACACAAUUAUGUCAUCCAUCAUAGUCUAUACACCUGGUAGAUGCUCAAAGAUCAUGUGAAUAGUUUUGUGGUAAACUUCUAGUGCUGAGUGAAUGUCAUAAGGGAGACAGAGAAAACAAUAUCUGCCUUCAGGUGUAUUGAAGGUACACAGUUUUUAACUUGCCUCAUCAAGUUUCAUUUGCCAAACCCCAGAUGAUGCAUCCAGCUUGCAGAACCACUUUGAUCCAGUGAACUGAGACAUGAUUUCUUCUCUGGUUGGCAGUUUAAAAUGUUCACGUUUUAUGGCCCUGUUGAGAUCUCUUGGGUCAAGAUAUAUUCUCAAAGCUCCAUUUUUCUUGAGCACAAUAACAAGUGAGCUCACCCAGUCUGUUGGUUCAUCAACUGUCUUUAUAACCUUUAGCUUCUCCAUGUCAGCUAAUUCGUCUUUAAGUUUUCCUCUCAAAGCAAAUGGAACAUUUCUGCAUGCAUGUACAACUGGUGUUAUUGUGUCAUCAACACUUAUUUUAUCCUUCCCAGGCAGACAUCCUAGUCCUUCAAAAACAUCUUCAUACUCCUGCAUGAAUGAGGUUUCAUUUGUUUCAAUCUGUGAUGCCACUACAAACACCUUCCUUUUUUUUUAAAUUUUUAGCACGUGCUCAGUCCUAAAAUUGGCUGGACAUUCUUUUCCACAAUCAGCAUCUGUGACUUUACCUGCUGUCCCUUGUGUUUAAGAGUCACCAAGCAGCUCCCUUUGACAGGGACACUUGGAAAACAGGAAAACUUUCGUUUUCACUGGAUGUAUUUUGAUUUUGAGGGUUUUGUAGUCAGAAUUAGACAAGAGAUUGACUUGUGCUGCAGUAUCUAAUUUGAAGCCAAUUUUUACAUUUACGGUCAGUGGUACAAUCCAUUCAGCUUUGUCUGUUGUGCUAGUCUGUACAGAAUCAACAAAGAAUUUGUCAGGCUGCUCUUCAACUGAGACCAUUAUUAGGAGUCCCACAAACUAUUUUGUCCCUCACAAGUGAGUCUCUUAAAUCUCCAAAUUCACAAGUCUUACUCAGUCGAAAGAAAAACUUGUUCCUAUCAAAAGUGACAUUCUUACUUGGCACAAAGAAUUCCUCAAAGUUUGCCAUUAGAACAGUCAGUUAGAUUUGCGCCAUUGAGUUGAAGCUAUUACAAAUGUCCAGUGCAUCUUCACCUAUUACAUGCAAAAACAUGGAUGCCUUUAGCUUUUCAUCGCCUCUCCCUGCACCGCUAGCUGCUAGAUAGAUGUUGAAUCUUUGCUUGAAACGUUUCCAGUUAUCAGUGUAGGAGCAGCAUAGGUGAUGGUGGAUUUAAGCUCUCCAUGACGGGAAAAAAAACAAGACUGUGAGUCAGGCCUUCUCGUUCAACAUCAGUGCAUGACCUCACAAAAGCACUUCUACAGGAAUGGUCAAAAAUUCCCAUGAACACACUCCUAAACCUUGUGGAAAGCCUUCCCAGAAGAGUUGAAGCUGUUAUAGCUGCAAUGGGCAGGCCAGCUCCAUAUUAAACACUACAGACUAAGAAUGGGAUGUCAUUAAAUUUCAUGGACCUAAAAUUUCGCUAAAUUUUCUCGAUUUUUAUCUUAAAUCCAGUCCAAUAUUAUAACUUUUUAUAGUAUCUUUAUUAGCCGAUAGUAUCCCAUAAUAUUCUCAUUUCAAAUGCUUUUUAUAUCAUUAGUUAUAUUUGUUUUCCAGAACACCCGCUUAUAGCCGGUUAGCCCAUUAGCACGUUAGCCCGGCUACCACAAGUUGGCUUAUGUUUUUCACACCAAUUAUCUCUGUUGUGCUACUGCUCUUAAACACUAUGUCAGUUGUGGGUCUGCCUUUGAGUGCAGGUGAGGAUUUAUUCGAGCUGCACUCUGUGGACUUGGAGCUGGAGGCCAUGCAGAAGCAGAUCCACAACCUAUAAAUGAAGCUAGCCCAGCUGUGAGAUCGGAACGCCGCGCUGGAAUCAUCCCGGAUUGACGCUCACCUGUCCCAGGUAAAUCCGUGGCGUGAAACAAACACUCCCACAACCUCAACUCCGUGUUCUUCUCUGCCCAGGCCCAACGCACCAAGGACGCGGCCCGCCCAGGUUUCCUUCACUCCGGUCCCUGGGUACCACGCAGCCUGGAUGCAGCAGCAGCGGAAGACACGAGCCAAGCCCUGGGCGAGGACCUCUCCCCCUCCCCACCCGUUUUCGAGAUCUCAACCCGCAACCACUUCGCUCCCCUUUGCGAGACGGAGUGCGAUGUGGUGAUCAUCGGAGACUCCACACAUCCGUGCUACUGCGGCUAAAGGUAAGGUGCGCACUCGCUGUUUUCCUGGUACUCGUGUUGUUGACGUCACUGCACAGGUACAGCGAUCCUGAAUAAGAACAUCGGAGCUGUGGUCCUCCAUGCUGGCAUGAACGACAUCAGGCUGAGGCAGACGGAGAUCCUGAAGAAGGACUUCAGGAGCCGAUUCCGACUAAAAAAGCCAUCCCGAGGCAUACAGAGAUUGUGCCAGCUCCAGUGGCAUCCAGAGAUGGACCAGCUCCAGCCGGGUUCUGCUUUGUGAGGAUUCGGGUAUUCAAAGCAACACUGCCAACCUUAUGUGGACGACAACAACCUCCUUAUUAUUUUACAUAACAUUCUACACAUGCUGUAUCUGCAUCACACAAUUGACUAUACAUAAAUGCACAAAGGACAUUGUUCAUAUCACACUCUCUGGUGUUUACAAUAAUUUAUAAUCACACUCUCCACUGUCACCCAAAUGAGGAUGGGUUCCCUUUUGAGUCUGGUUCCUCUCAAGGUUUCUUCCUCAUACCAUCUAAGGGACUUUUUCCUUGCCACAGUCACCUCAGGCUUGCUCACUUGAGAUAACAUCUAGGACUGUUUGCCUGUUUAUAUGUUUGUUGUUUCUUAUGUAAAGCUGCUUUGAUGGAACGCUCUUUGUUAAAAGUGCUAUAAAAAUAAAAUUGAAUUGAUUUGAAUGUGCAUGUAAAGGCAGACGUCCCAAAACUUUUGGCUAUAAAGUCGAUAUUACUAUUUGCACAUACUGAACACUUGUAAAUAAAUUACAGUGUUUUCUCUAAGUCAACCUUUAGGGACAUAAUAAUCACAUUGGACGAAGGCGUAUUUGGAAGGAGAACUGCUGGAUGCAGGAGGAUUUGGCUGUGUGUUUGCUGGACUACGCAAAGAAGACGGAUUGCCAGUUGCAAUCAAGUACGUCUCCAAAAAGAUGCCAUAUGAAAAACUGCAGCUUACAGGAUAUGGAUGGCUGCCCAUUGAGAUAGCUUUGAAGAUCCUUGCAAACACAGAACCUUGCUCAAAAAUCCUGAAGAUUCUGGACUGGCACGAAGAGGCAAAGUGAUAUAUCGUACUCCUGGAACAGCCUGAACCAUGUGUGGACCUCAAGGAACUCUCCGGCAAGCAAGGUGGAUGUUUGACUGAGGUCGAGGCUCGCAAUGUGAUGUUUCAGCUGAUGGAAGCAUUGAAGCAUUGCAAGAGCCAGGGGAUACUGCAUCGUGAUGUCAAGCCAGAAAACAUUCUGAUUCAGACAGACACGUUUCAAGUCAAGCUGUUUGACUUGAAAGAGACCUCGUCAAAGACCCUUACAGUUACUUUGCAGGUGUCUGAUGUCUAAAUCUAAUGUAUCUUUGUUAACACUUGAAUAUGCCCCUCCUGCUCCCCGAAAGUCUGUCUCAAGGCAAGGAACUAUACUCAAUUUAAUACUUUUGAAAAAGUUUGAUUUUCAGAUUAGGAUGUAAAUUCUCCCAACCAGGAGAGGGUGCUAGUUCCAGCCAGCAGCAAGGUGCUAGGGCGAAAUUGUAAAGCAAUGCACGAUUGAUAUGGCUAAAGCAUUUGGAGAAGAGAAAAUAGUCAAGAACUUUUGAGUCUGUAUCUUUGUCCCGCUGAACAGUAACACGUCGAAUUUCUGACUUUCAAUGUCAAAUCUAAGAAAAGCUGAAACUUGCAAUAAACAAUUGCAAAUACUGGCACAGACGUGACAGAUGCCAGUCAGCUCCUGAUCUUUGCAAGAACGAUUACAGAGAACUUUGAUGUUCAAGAGGAGCUGUUAAAGCUUGCUUCAUUACAUGACACCACUUUUUCAGAACUGACACUGAAAAGGGAAAUUAAAAAGUUUUUGGAUUUAGGGUCUCUAGCUUAUAUAAUCAAUGAGAAAAUGAAUCUCAAAUAGCAAGCAUUCUGUUAUUUAGAAAUGAGUUUGUAUUGUGAUUUUCCUUUUGAAUUACCAAAGACCUGAGGAAUUACUGUACAAUGUCUGUUUAAUCAUUGCCUCUCAGUCCUAUGUAGACGUUGUGUUGGAAUGUAAUGUUAAGCUCCAACUCUUCUGCAUUCACGCGUCUCCUGAACAUCUCCCGAUCAGCUACCGGCUCUUUGCGUGUUCGCUCGGCCGAGGUGGAGGGUCAGCGCGCACACAGGAGCAGCAGUGGAGUGAAGUUCUGUGUUGUGUCCGAUCGUCAGUCAAGAGGAGCUGAACAUGCCUUAGAGUUCUUGUACUUGUUGGAUUCUGUAUCACAAGUCAGAGUCUGCUGUUGUGUGGACCACCUGUCUGGCAUUAAACUGACACCAAAACCAGCACAUGUUCACAUGUUCAUAAUUAUACCUGGCUGCUUGAUCUGAAAUUUUUUACAUCACUUAAGUAUGUGGUGGUGUAUUCAUCAAGUGCAAAUGACAGAAAUUUCAAGAAAAUUUUCAUGAUGUACCAAGUUUUUUUUUUUCUUUUUUCUUUUUCCACUCUGUUUCCUUCACCUGUCUGUCUUGUCAUUGAGAACUUUGAAAGGGCUCAAAGUUGAAUGUAAUCCACCAUCUAAUUGUUCAUACUAAU